This 340-nucleotide ribosomal RNA is filed under the name uncultured alga. RNAcentral describes it as "bacterial LSU rRNA". It matches the Rfam family "Bacterial large subunit ribosomal RNA", at positions 2098 to 2465 of the family's 2925-position model. The record is from RNAcentral.
GCUUUACUGUAGCCUGGAUUGGUUCGGCUUCGCUUGCGCAGGAUAGGUGGAGGCUUUGAAGCUGCCUUGUGGGGUAGUGGAGCAAUGUGAGAUACCACUCUGGCGAGCUAGGAUUCUAACCUUAACCGUAAUCCGGAAAGGAACAGUUCAGGUGGCAGUUUUCUGGGCGGAACCUCAUAAAGGUAACUGAGGCGCGCAAAGUUCCUCAGUCUGGAUGGAAAUCAGACAUUGAGUGUAAAGCAGAAGGAGCUUGAUUGCAGACCAACAAGUCGAGCAGGGCGAAGCGGCUUAGUGAUCGACGGUGCCGAGUGGAAGGCCGUCGCUCAACGGAUAAAAGUUA